This 253-nucleotide ribosomal RNA is filed under the name uncultured bacterium. RNAcentral's name for it is "partial 16S ribosomal RNA". It matches the Rfam family "Bacterial small subunit ribosomal RNA", at positions 524 to 776 of the family's 1533-position model. The record is from RNAcentral.
UACGGAGGGUGCUAGCGUUGUUCGGAAUCACUGGGCGUAAAGCGCGUGUAGGCGGCCCAUUAAGUCUGAUGUGAAAGCCCGGGGCUCACCCCCGGAAGUGCAUUGGAAACUGAUGGGCUCGAGUCCCGGAGAGGAGGGUGGAAUUCCUGGUGUAGCGGUGAAAUGCGUAGAUAUCAGGAGGAACACCGGUGGCGAAGGCGGCCCUCUGGACGGUGACUGACGCUGAGACGCGAAAGCGUGGGGAGCAAACAGG